GAUGAACGCUGGCGGCGUGCCUAACACAUGCAAGUCGAACGGAGUCCAGCCUUUAGGACCUUCGGGUCAAAGAGGGGAAGACUGAGUGGCGGACGGGUGAGUAACACGUGGGCAACCUGGCUCAUAGAGGGGGAUAACAGAGAGAAAUUUCUGCUAAUACCGCAUAAGCACACACUGCCGCAUGGCAGAGGGUGAAAAGAGAAUCGCUAUGAGAUGGACCCGCGUCUGAUUAGCCAGUUGGCAGGGUAAGAGCCUACCAAAGCGACGAUCAGUAGCCGAUCUGAGAGGAUGAACGGCCACAUUGGGACUGAGACACGGCCCAAACUCCUACGGGAGGCAGCAGUGGGGGAUAUUGCACAAUGGGGGGAACCCUGAUGCAGCGACGCCGCGUGAGUGAAGAAGUAUUUCGGUAUGUAAAGCUCUAUCAGCAGGGAAGAUAAUGACAGUACCUGAAUAAGAAGCCCCGGCUAACUACGUG
This 478-nucleotide ribosomal RNA is filed under the name uncultured bacterium. RNAcentral describes it as "partial 16S ribosomal RNA". It matches the Rfam family "Bacterial small subunit ribosomal RNA", at positions 28 to 507 of the family's 1533-position model. The record is from RNAcentral.